GAUGAACGCUGGCGGCGUGCCUAAUACAUGCAAGUCGAGCGAACAGACGGGGAGCCUGCUCCUUCGACGUUAGCGGCGGACGGGUGAGUAACACGUAGGUAACCUACCUAUAAGACUGGGAUAACUUCGGGAAACCGGGGCUAAUACUGGAUAAUAUUUCGAACCGCAUGGUUCGAUAGUGAAAGAUGGCUUUGCUAUCACUUAUAGAUGGACCUGCGCCGUAUUAGCUAGUUGGUAAGGUAACGGCUUACCAAGGCAACGAUACGUAGCCGACCUGAGAGGGUGAUAGGCCACACUGGAACUGAGACACGGUCCAGACUCCUACGGGAGGCAGCAGUAGGGAAUCUUCCGCAAUGGGCGAAAGCCUGACGGAGCAACGCCGCGUGAGUGAUGAAGGUCUUCGGAUCGUAAAACUCUGUUAUUAGGGAAGAACAAACGUGUAAGUAACUGUGCACGUCUUGACGGUACCUAAUCAGAAAGCCACGGCUAACUACGUG
Molecule: ribosomal RNA, 497 nt
Filed under: uncultured bacterium
Lineage: Bacteria
Description: partial 16S ribosomal RNA
Rfam family: Bacterial small subunit ribosomal RNA
Source: RNAcentral